UACGGGGGGUGCAAGCGUUAUCCGGAUUCACUGGGUUUAAAGGGUGCGUAGGCGGGUAAGUAAGUCCGUGGUGAAAUCUCUGAGCUUAACUCAGAAACUGCCGUGGAUACUAUUUGCCUUGAAUAUUGUGGAGGUGAGCGGAAUAUGUCAUGUAGCGGUGAAAUGCUUAGAUAUGACAUAGAACACCAAUUGCGAAGGCAGCAGGCUAAACGAACAUUGACGCUGAGGCACGAAAGCGUGGGGAUCAAACAGG
This 253-nucleotide ribosomal RNA is filed under the name uncultured bacterium. RNAcentral's name for it is "partial 16S ribosomal RNA". It matches the Rfam family "Bacterial small subunit ribosomal RNA", at positions 524 to 776 of the family's 1533-position model. The record is from RNAcentral.